UGGAUUUCAAAACAGAUUUGAAAUGAGCUCCAACAUCACCACUGUCUUUCUUCAAAUCAAGCGAGUGGAUUUCUCUGACUCUGGACUGUAUUUCUGUGGAUUUUACAUUUAUGCACACACAGUCAUUGCCAAUACAAUACAUUUAAAUGUUCAAGGUGAUCGUGAAUCUGGCAAUGAAGUGGAUUUUAAGAAUGAAAGUAAUGGUGAAUCUUGCAGUGAAGUGGAUUUUAAAACUGAAGAAACCCCUGAUGGAAUAACAAACCUGAUGACUGUGGUCCUGGGUGCUCUGAC
Molecule: long non-coding RNA, 291 nt
Organism: Lates calcarifer (barramundi perch)
Lineage: Eukaryota; Metazoa; Chordata; Actinopteri; Centropomidae
Exons: 4
Source: RefSeq, a predicted model, not a curated record